This is a long non-coding RNA of Drosophila arizonae, 556 nucleotides long. NCBI's taxonomy places the organism in Eukaryota, Metazoa, Arthropoda, Insecta, Diptera, Drosophilidae. The record is from RefSeq and is a predicted model, not a curated record.
AUGACAUCUAUACUAUUGUUCUCCUCAGUGCUUUAGUUGAACACAUUUGAGAGCCUAUUAAACAGUUUUAACAUUAUCAUUUGUGGCCUUGAAUUAGCUAAAUUACAAAAUACCUGGUAAGGGACCGCUGGAUGCCCAGCGGAGCAGCAACAUCUGCAGUCGACCUGACGAUUGUGUAAGGGAAGGAGGGGAAAUGAGAAUGGGAAUGAGAAUGAGAAUGGUCGCUGUUGAAGUGCCCAACUGCUAACUAAGCCAAAUUGUACGCUCAAGUGCCAUAAAGCCAUAAAGACAGAUUUCAAAUGGGGCUGUCCUCGUUCAUUUUGAAAGAAUUAAGCACUUUUGUGGGGCGCAGCUGCUAAGAAAAUACCGCAGCUCCAAAAACCAGUUUCAGCUGCAGCUCCUGGUCUGCAGGUCGCCCUUAGCACAACUUUCAACAACUUCCUAUGCUCAAAGUUUCCACAAAUUAGUUAUGCAAAUUAUGUGAGUCGCCUCUACCUCAGCGGCAGCAGUCAACCGCCAGUUACAACAACAACAAUGGCGGCAACAACAACAACAA